AACGAACGCUGGCGGCAGGCUUAACACAUGCAAGUCGAACGCAUCCUUCGGGAUGAGUGGCAGACGGGUGAGUAACGCGUGGGAACGUGCCCUUCAGUUCGGGAUAACCCAGGGAAACUUGGGCUAAUACCGGAUACGUGCGAGAGCAGAAAGAUUUAUCGCUGAAGGAUCGGCCCGCGUCUGAUUAGCUAGUUGGUGGGGUAAUGGCCCACAAAGGCGACGAUCAGUAGCUGGUCUGAGAGGAUGAUCAGCCACAUUGGGACUGAGACACGGCCCAAACUCCUACGGGAGGCAGCAGUGGGGAAUAUUGGACAAUGGGCGCAAGCCUGAUCCAGCCAUGCCGCGUGAGUGAUGAAGGCCUUAGGGUUGUAAAGCUCCUUCGUCCGGGACGAUAAUGACGGUACCGGAAGAAGAAGCCCCGGCUAACUUCGUGCCAGCCGCCGCCGUAA
This 449-nucleotide ribosomal RNA is filed under the name uncultured bacterium. Its description in RNAcentral is "partial 16S ribosomal RNA". It matches the Rfam family "Bacterial small subunit ribosomal RNA", at positions 29 to 523 of the family's 1533-position model. The record is from RNAcentral.